This 1056-nucleotide long non-coding RNA is filed under the name Mus musculus (house mouse). RNAcentral's name for it is "predicted gene, 49668". Lineage: Eukaryota; Metazoa; Chordata; Mammalia; Rodentia; Muridae. The record is from RNAcentral.
ACACAGCACCCCACUAUCUGGAGGGCAAAGUGUUCUGUUUGUUUGGCCCUGGUGGUGUGAACCAGAAAUGUACACGGGGCUGUCACUGGCUGAGUAACUGAAGGUUGCCCCAGUUGCUGUCCUUGUUGCUGAGACCGGAGGGCAGAGUCUGGACAUUGAUCCUGUUUCCACACUCUUCUGGAAGAAGCAAACAUCUUCGAUUAGGUAAGUCUACCUGGGCCCCAGCACAUUAAGUGACAGGAAGAGGGAAGCAGCCAGCCCUUGCCCACCUGUGUAAGGAGAGUCCCAAUGCGUUCUGCCUACGAUGCGCCGGUUCUCCUUGGAGCAGGCCUUGCAGACCACUGCCUUCAGGUUGUGGAACUUGGAGCCACUAGCUAGGUGAACACCAAGUGCUGCUGCUGAGCACGCCAACCUCAUGUGUGGAGAACAGUUAUGGAAAUUCUCUCCCCACAGCUGCCUGCCUGCCUUGGCCUUGUGGAUCGUAUGAGUCCUUAGUGACUGCUCUUGUGCCGUGCUCCCUGCCUGCUGCCGUGCUCCCUGCCUGCUGCCGAGCUCCCCAUCAUGAUCAUCAAGGACACAUCUGUCUUGUCUCAGUGACAGAAAAGUAACUGAGACACUGCCGUAGGAAAAUAUGGGCUAUCACAAGAUGUGGCCACUAAGUCAAACUUACAAGAUCAUUUAUUGUUAGGUUUAUUCUCCUGAAAAACACAGGGAGAGAAGUCCCCUGUUUUUAAAAAUCAUACGUCAUCUCAUUUCAGUUGAAUACCAUUAAGAAUAAAAUGCCACAUGGUAAAAUCUCAAAAGGUGCCCGGGUUUUUACAAAUUAAGAAUGUCUUGCCUGAGCUCUGGAGAGAUGGUUCAGUGGUUAAGUGGCUGCUCCUGAGAAUCCCAGCACCCACAUGGCAACUGUCUAUAACCUCAGCUAUAGAGGGUCCAAUGCCCUCAUCUGGCUUUUAAAGGUAGAGUACAGAGGUGCGCAUGGUGCACAGACACACAUGCAGGCAAAAGACUCAUACACAUAAAAUUAAAAUAGAUGAAUAAAAAAAAUCUCAAAAA